Molecule: transfer RNA, 19 nt
Filed under: Craterocephalus stercusmuscarum fulvus (unspecked hardyhead)
Lineage: Eukaryota; Metazoa; Chordata; Actinopteri; Atheriniformes; Atherinidae
Description: partial tRNA-Phe
Source: RNAcentral
UAGAGUGGUUCCGUAAGCA